UUGCACCUACCAAUUGAAUGGUCCGGUGAGGCCUCAGUAUUUUGACCCCUGCUAUUCAGUUAGUGGGGGGCAUAAGAACUUGUCCAAACCUUAUCGUUUAGAGUAAGGUG
Molecule: ribosomal RNA, 110 nt
Filed under: uncultured eukaryote
Lineage: Eukaryota
Description: partial small subunit ribosomal RNA
Source: RNAcentral